UACUUAUCUACUUGCCAAUUAGUGGGGGAUUAAAUACCGCAUACUCUGACUUCGGUCAGGAAAGGGUUCCGCAAGGGCCCGCUAAUUGAGAGGGAUAAGGCGUAUUAGCUAGUUGGUGGGGUAAUGGCCUACCAAGGUAAUGAUGCGUAGCCGGCCUAAGAGGGUGAACGGCCACAAGGGAACUGAGACACGGUCCCUACUCCUACGGGAGGCAGAAGGAGGAAACAUUUCGCAAUGGACGCAAGUCUAACGGAGUGAUACUACGUGAAGGACGAAGGUCUACGGAUUGUAAACUUCUUUACUAGUAGGUACUGCUUUCGGGCUUGCCUGCUAGCAAAAAGUCACGACUAACUAUGUGCCAGCAGUCGCGGUAAGACAUAGGUGGCAAACGUUAUCCGGAAUUACUGGGCGUAAAGGGUGCGUAGGUGGUUUAAUAAGUUACUGGUGGGAAAUCGGGGCCCAACCCCGUGGAAGUCAGUAAUACUAUUAAACUAGAGGGCCGGAGAGGUUAACGGAAUUCUAUGUGUAGCGGUAAAAUGCUCAAAUAUAUAGAGGAACACCAAUUGGCGAAGGCAGUUAACUAUUCGGCGCCUGACGUUGAGGCACGAAAGCGUGGGGAGCAAGACGGAUUAGAUACCCGAGUAGUCCACGCCCUAAACGAUGAGUACUAGAUAUUGGGAACUUGAUUUUCAGUGUCGCAAGAUAACUCGGUAAGUACUCCGCCUGGGUAGUACGGUCGCAAGGCUAAAACUCAAAGGAAUUGACGGGAACUCACACAAGCAGUGGAGCAUGUGGUUUAAUCCGAUAUGACGCGUAGAACCUUACCGGGGCUUGACAUGUUCGGCAAAACUAGGGAAACCUAGCGGAGGUUAUCCGGACACAGGUGUUGCAUGGCCAUCGUCAGUUCGUGUUGUGAGAUGUAUGGUUUAGUCCUAUUAACGAACGAAACCCUUGUGCUUAGUUGCUAACAGGUAAGGCUGAGGACUCUAAGCAGACUGCCAAGGCAACUUGGAGGAAGGCGAGGAUCACGUCUGGUCAUC
This 1040-nucleotide ribosomal RNA is filed under the name Candidatus Moeniiplasma glomeromycotorum. RNAcentral describes it as "bacterial SSU rRNA". It matches the Rfam family "Bacterial small subunit ribosomal RNA", at positions 114 to 1194 of the family's 1533-position model. Lineage: Bacteria; Bacillati; Mycoplasmatota; Mollicutes; Mycoplasmatales; Mycoplasmataceae. The record is from RNAcentral.